Molecule: unclassified non-coding RNA, 350 nt
Filed under: soil metagenome
Description: partial contains 5.8S ribosomal RNA, internal transcribed spacer 2, and large subunit ribosomal RNA
Rfam family: 5.8S ribosomal RNA (bases 1-120)
Source: RNAcentral
GAUGAAGAACGUAGCGAACUACGAUAAGUAAUGUGAAUUGCAGAAUUCAGUGAAUCAUCGAGUCUUUGAACGCACAUUGCGCCCCCUGGCAUUCCGGGGGGCAUGCCUGUCCGAGCGUCAUUGCUGCCCUUCAAGCCCGGCUUGUGUGUUGGGUCGUCGUCCCCCCCGGGGGACGGGCCCGAAAGGCAGCGGCGGCACCGCGUCCGGUCCUCGAGCGUAUGGGGCUUUGUCACCCGCUCGAUUAGGGCCGGCCGGGCGCCAGCCGGCGUCUCCAACCUUCUAUUUUACCAGGUUGACCUCGGAUCAGGUAGGGAUACCCGCUGAACUUAAGCAUAUCAAUAAGCGGAGGA